Molecule: long non-coding RNA, 1509 nt
Organism: Oncorhynchus tshawytscha (Chinook salmon)
Lineage: Eukaryota; Metazoa; Chordata; Actinopteri; Salmoniformes; Salmonidae
Exons: 2
Source: RefSeq, a predicted model, not a curated record
CUUUAGUGUUCAGUUUAGUAAACUAAAAUGGACACUUACCACGCUGCACAUUGGUCCGAUCUCUCCUACUCCUCCUCGUCAGAAGAAGAGGAGAACCGUGACAGCUCAGGAUCUCCGACUGGGGCAAAGGAUCACAUUUCAACAGGAUGUAGCAUAGCAAUAGAAUACCAACCUAGUUGCAUGUCUCUAUGUGCUUUGGUUGUAUGUGCUUUUUACAGCUCCUCAACAGCAAUAAGUUAAGUUAGCUAAAUCACGUACAGAACUGACCUAAAUAUAGCACAUGUUAAUUUGACCCAGUUUUUCACAGCCGGAAAGUAAUCCUGCAGCAACAGGAAAUGUGAAUUAUUAUGUGGAUUAUAAUUCAUUGACAUUCUUUUGUAGGGUUUCAUACAUAUUUCGUAAGGGCAAAUCAAGUCUGAGAUUUUAAAUAGGAAAUUAAGAACUGUAGUAGCCUUGAAUACACGACAAGUUUCCAUUUCCUGCUAUUCAUAAAAAUUCCUGCAAGAACAGGAUGAUCAAAUUAUGAUACAGCGUCUCCAGGACAAGACUGGUAGCAUACUGACUGGCAGAUAAGAAACCUCAAUGUAAUAACAUACAAGAUCCUGAUGGCAGUUGUAAGUGACUCUUCUGAGACACCAGAACAAGGAAACCAAAGAUAUUUCCACUGUAAACAUGUCAUGUCAAUGCAACAGGUGAGAACAGUGAAAGGUUUCAUGUAAAUCAUGUUGGCACGGCACUUCCUUGUUGUGUUGUAUAAAGAGACCCAUCAUCUGUGUGAACCAUAUCACUUCAUAGGAGACACACUUCUGAUCCUGUGACAUAACAAGAAAGUCAGAGACCUACAAGAUCAACAAGAGAAUGGGUGGAGAUGCAUCAAGAGAUCGAGCGGAUCAGGCAGAGAAAGACUGCGAUCAAGCCAGAACUGAUAAACAGAUAGCGGAGAGGGACAAACGGAAAGCAGAGAUGGACAAACAGAAUGCGGAGAAGGAAAAACAGACCAUGGAGAUGGACAAGAAUAAGACAGAAGAGGCUUACAGGAAGCUCCUAGCUGAGAAAGUGAGAAUGGAAACAGAACAAAAGAUAGAAGAAAACCGAAGACAGGGGCUUGAGAAGGAAAGACUCAAAUUAAUAGAACACAAUAGACAGCGAGAGAGAAAUGAAAAGACAAUAAUUCAGCUGGAAAAUGCAAAAGGAGAUCAGAAAACUGUAUGAAAUGUAUCCACAUAAUAAGAGACAAAGGCAUAAACGGUUAAAUGAUCCACAUAAUGAAUUAUUGGACAAGGCACACAAUCAUUGUAUACCUUUAAUAUCCACAAUUGCGCUGCCUGUUUUAUUUUCCCCAAAUGAUGUUGUUAAAGGGAUAGUUCACACAAAUGACAGUGGUUUAAUAACCCUGUUAGUAAUCUUUGGUUUUGUUUACCUGGCUGCUGCCACCAAAUGCUUUUCAAACCAAUGCCUGUCAAUAUCUGAGAAUCCUCUGUAGCAUUGCAAUAAAUAGAUUCUAUUGAU